GAAAUGCGAUACGUAAUGUGAAUUGCAGAAUUCAGUGAAUCAUCGAAUCUUUGAACGCACCUUGCGCCCCUUGGCAUUCCGAGGGGCACACCCGUUUGAGUGUCGUGACAUCCUCAACCUUCUUGGUCUUUUUUGACUUUAGAAGGCUUGGACUUUGGGGGUUUUUGCUGGCCUUUAUUUUUAAAAGCCAGCUCCUCCUAAAUGCAUUAGUAGGGUCUACAUUGUCGAUCCUCGACGUUGAUAAGAUGCUUCUACGUCUUGGUUUACCUUUUGUAGCCUGCUUCUAACCGUCUCAUUGGAGACAAAGCGGCUCAAGUUUUCACUUGAACCCACAAAKCAUUGACCUCAAAUCGGGUGAGACUACCCGCUGAACUUAA
Molecule: ribosomal RNA, 377 nt
Filed under: Russula sp. 294-830
Lineage: Eukaryota; Fungi; Basidiomycota; Agaricomycetes; Russulales; Russulaceae
Description: eukaryotic LSU rRNA
Rfam family: 5.8S ribosomal RNA (bases 1-105)
Source: RNAcentral